AUACGUAGGUGGCGAGCGUUGUCCGGAAUUACUGGGUGUAAAGGGCGUGUAGGCGGGAUGGCAAGUCAGAUUUGAAAUACCGGGGCUUAACUCCGGGGCUGCAUCUGAAACUGUUUUUCUUGAGUGUCGGAGAGGAAAGCGGAAUUCCUAGUGUAGCGGUGAAAUGCGUAGAUAUUAGGAGGAACACCAGUGGCGAAGGCGGCUUUCUGGACGCCAACUGACGCUGAGGCGCGAAAGCGUGGGGAGCAAACAGGAUUAGAUACCCUGGUAGUCCACGCCGUAAACGAUGGAUACUAGGUGUAGGAGGUAUCGACCCCUUCUGUGCCGGAGUUAACACAAUAAGUAUCCCACCUGGGGAGUACGGCCGCAAGGUUGAAACUCAAAUGAAUUGACGGG
Molecule: ribosomal RNA, 396 nt
Filed under: uncultured bacterium
Lineage: Bacteria
Description: partial 16S ribosomal RNA
Rfam family: Bacterial small subunit ribosomal RNA
Source: RNAcentral